AUGGAUUGGAAUCCCCAAGUGUUGUGUUGGAAUGUGAGGGGUCUCAAUAACCCCGCCAAAAGGAACGCUGUCCGGGAGUUCGUUGUCGAUGCUAAGGUUAAUCUUGUAUGUCUCCAAGAGACAAAAAUAGAUGUAUUUGACCCGUAUUUGGUUAUGCAAUGCAUUGGACCAUCGUUUGAUGGGUUCGCCUACUUGCCGGCGUUGGACACUAGGGGUGGCAUCCUCUUGGGGUGG
This 234-nucleotide ribosomal RNA is filed under the name Triticum aestivum (bread wheat). RNAcentral's name for it is "partial small subunit ribosomal RNA". Lineage: Eukaryota; Viridiplantae; Streptophyta; Magnoliopsida; Poales; Poaceae. The record is from RNAcentral.